Long non-coding RNA from Pleuronectes platessa (European plaice), 3281 nucleotides. RefSeq lists it as uncharacterized. The record is from RefSeq and is a predicted model, not a curated record. NCBI's taxonomy places the organism in Eukaryota, Metazoa, Chordata, Actinopteri, Pleuronectiformes, Pleuronectidae. The transcript is spliced from 5 exons.
GAAGAAGAAGAAGAAGAAGAAGAAGAAGAAGAAGAAGAAGAAGAAGAAGAAGAAGAAGUUGUUUCUUUGGAGUCUCAUAUCACCCCCUGGUGGCCAUAUAGGUUACUGAGCUGAUGAUGGCGAACUGGAAAUAUUGGACAAAGCUUUGUGAAAUUACUUCAACCUUUCACACUUUCUGUCAACAUUCUACAUUAGCACAACCGUUGUGGUUUUCCACGUCGUGAGAGCCAAGUAUCGCCACAGACUGUCCAGGAGCUCACUGAUGCCCUGAUCCAGGACGAGAUCCCCAAGGACACCAUCCACUGACUCAUCAGGAGCAUACACAGAUGUUGUCGGAAGUGCAUACAGGCAGGCGAGGCUGAGCUGGAAGAGAAGACGAGGCUCAUCAACCAGGUUUUGGAGCUUCAGCACACUUUAGAAGAACUGUCUUCCCGGGUGGAUGCUGUCAAAGAGGAAAACCUGAAAACCCUAAGGUCUUGGACCACAGGAGGGUGAGUUCAGAACACUAUGCAGAGGAUAAUGUAAAGUGAGUGGCAAUGUGCAUUGCCGGCAGUGGCAGAUGUGACUAGCAAUCUGCAGCCUGGUUCUGCUCUAUACUAAACAGCGUAGAAACAGAAAAGUCAAGCUAACCAUCGCACCAUUAUAACGCCUCCUCGCCCAAUCACUUUAGUGGAAAGCAGCAUGGAAAGAGCCAGGUGGUCUAUUCUUAGUGUAAAGUUGUGUCAAAAUAGAAAUAAUAGCCACAUAUUUAAACUGACAAUGUAGAUGAGUAGACAGCCAUUUAUGAAAAUCCAACUCGGAUCAUAACCUUAAAAUCUUUGAGAAAGAGCACUUCCUGGAUCAGGAUUUAUGUGGAUAAAAAAUCUCUUCCUAAUUAUUAUAAUGCCUUUAUUGUCACGGUAUGGUCAUGAGGACCAACAAAUUGGAUCAUAAACAUGUCCAUUUAAAUUAGUGGCCUAGAAGUCUCUGUAAGAGUUACUCUUCAGUGUUGAAGACUGAUGUCAACUUCAUUGUGCUCAAAACUAAGUUGGAGACAGGAUGUGGGGAAUCUUAAUUAGGUUGCAGACUGAGUUGUUUAAUGCUUAACACAUGUAAAGAAUUCAGCUGUUAAACGUAUUUGCAUUGAGUGUUGCUGCAUUAAUAAAAAUUUUCUAGUUCACUUUAAAAAACUCAUGCUCAAUGAGAAGUGUUACCACACCUUCAACCACAUUGUGUCAGAAACAACUUAAACCUGGUCAGUCAAUGCAGAACUUAUCAGUUAAAAUUCUAUGAACAAUUUUAAAUUGGAUUUUUGUAUGUUUUGUUCUCAGAAUUUUUUUUUAAAUCAACAUUUUGGAGCCAUUUGUCAAAUUAAAAUGUUUCACUUAGAAAAUUGAGAGCUAAAAAAUGUGAAAGUCAUGUGUUGAGCUGCCUGCCAAUCUCACCAAACCACAUUUGGAGGUGGUCUGGGCCACAUGUGUCCACAUUCUGUCAGCAGUGUGUACGAAAAUGCGUCCUGGGCCACAAAUGAAGGACCUCCUACUCAGCCAACAUCCACUGACCCACUGCAGUUUUACUAUUAAUAAAAGAGGCACCUGCCAGCCAAUCAGAGUUAAAUUGGUCAUGUAUAUAUCCAUGUGUAUUUACUCUGAAGUACUUUUAAUGAGAGGGUCUGUCACAUCCUCUGACAUUAUACAUUAACACCCUAUAAUUUUGUUAUUAUUCAGUUAAAUGAUAGUAUUUAAUACUGUUUAAUUGUGUUUAAUUGGCAAUGUGUUUAUGUAUCUGAACACAAACACAGAAUAAUGCACUCUUAAUUAACACAAGCUCUCAGGUCAGACCUCGGUCAGUCGAGCCCAGACGGCGGAAUCAGAGUGAACCACCAGACGUAGUGCUGAGAUCGGCUGUAGCGCUUCUUCAAUCUCCCCCUCAGCUACUCCAUCCUCGAAUCCACCUGAAACACACAAACCACACAUAAUAGAUUAGAUCACAUAGAAAUUGGAUUUCUAAAUGAAUUUGUAUAUACGUAUAUUCAUUUCUCUGUUGGCUAUGUGAUAGGCCAACGCACUGUCCAGGGUGCACCCCUGGCUUAAUGUUGCUAGACUCUUAGCAAAGAGCGAGAUUAACACGUUGAGAAUAAAGCACUUUCAGUGGACAUUAAGUGGAAUGUUGAAGUUGCCCCAUAUGAUUACAUUGCAGCCACUGCUACCAUGUUGCCCUUGUUGACUUAGGUUACUAAACUGAGUGCAAGGUGCGAAAUUAUUUACACACCGACAUUCAUAAAAAUAGUGCCCAGGUUGAGAAAAAGCUAAAUUCCCCUGUAAGGCAUGUUGCUUCAGCCCCACUGACUAAAAGGCUCUCUUUACUAUUUAUUCAAAGGUUGCUGGGAGAGCACCUCCACCUGUACCAGAGGACCAAUCGGUGCAGGGGAGAGCUGUUAGCUGACUGAUGCUCAGGUUGAAAAGGCAUAGAUUGGGAAACGCUCUGGACAGAGAAUCUAGGAGAGACGCACUCGGAAGCUCACAGGGGAGUCACGGAGAGACACAGCAAAACUUAGCUGAAAAGCUGGCCACUUAAGUUAAAGUUUUUUGGGAGGUUAUGUUUUUGUAUUAUUGUUUGUAUAAUGCUAAAAAGCAACACCCUUGUCUCUGGCUGUGAGUGGGAGAGCCCUGUGGCAUGGUGAACGUUAAAGACUCAACAGCUUGUCCAAAAUGCCGCAGCACGUGUCCUGACGAGAACAAAGAAAAGAGAGCACAUUUCUCCAGUAUUAACAUCGCUACACUGGCUUCCAGUUAAAUCUAGAAUAGAAUUUAAAAUUCUUCUCCUCACCUUCAAGGCCCUUAAUAAUAUAGCGCCUUUUUACCUUAAAGAGCUGUUAGUACCUUAUAAACCCACUAGAGCACUCCGCUCCCAGAAUUCAAGCCUACUUGUCGUCCCUAAAGUCUCUAAAAGUAGAGUAGGAGCCAGAGCUUUCAGCCAUCAAGCCCCUCGGCUGUGGAAUCAUCUACCACUUUCAGUUCGGGAGGCAGAUACCAUCUUUUCAUUUAAGAGUAGGCUCAAAACCUUCCUUUUUGAUAAAGCUUAUAGUUAGAGCUAAUUAGUGCGGAAGAACGUAACUUUUUCUAUUUUAUGACACAUGACACACGGAGCUUCUCUUUCCAGCUUCUCCAUCCCUAUCCCCCUUCCCCGGAAUCCCUUUGCUUUAUCACCCGCAGAUCCAGGGCCUCUGUGGCCGCACCAUGGAUUGCGGUUUGUGGAUCGCGCACCGGGGGUCGCAGUGUUGGAUCCAGUGUGGCGGAUUC